AAGCAGUUAAGCAAAUUAAAUCACAACUCAGAAAUCACAACUGAAGGUAAUCAAUUCAUAUUACAAAUAUAUUCAUGGCUUUGAAUUAACCUCUAGCCAAAAUAAAUUUAGUUACACAUUUUUAUCAAAUUAAAUCAAAAGUAAAACAUAAGUUUGGAAAGAUUUAACCGAGAAGAAUGGAGUGAAGCCUCUGCUUUGUGCUCUGCGCAGUCCUCUUCGUUCCUCGCCAGUCUGCCCGUGCCUUCUCAUGCGCCAGUUUCUGUCAGUCUCCCUCUCCUCACUGGUCUCACACGCUGCCCAAAAGGCAGCCUUCUUUCCUCUCUCCCGCGCCCAACAGCCUCUCGGUUUCUCUCCUUCUCACUUCUCACUGUCCCCACGUCCUGACAUGCGCUUCCUGCGCUCCCCCCUUUCUGCGCAGUGCCAGUCUGCCCAUUUCCUGCACUCAAAGCAGCCUGCUCUCCUCUGCGUGCUGCAAGUCUUUUUCAAAGCUGCAAGGGCAGCUCCCCUCUUCUCUCUCCGCACGUCUCUCUAUUUUAUUCUUUCUGUUUUCUUUUCUUCACACGCUGUCUUUCUUUUUAUUCUUUUUUUUCGCACUACCUCAGUGCUCUCCCGUCUGUUUCCACCUCUCUCACCUACUCUUAUCUGCCCUCUCUGACCUCCUCUUUUCCUUGAUGUCAAUUAGCUUUUUUAUCCUGAAAAUCGAUGAGUCAAAGUAAGUCCCCAUUAUUUAAUUUUUCCAACUGAACUUGAAAGCAGGAAAGAUAACGGACAGGCCAUCCUCUUUAUUUUCUGCCAUUCACUUCCUUUGUUUUCUGUUUUUAGUCUCUUUAUUCCUCUGUCAGUGCACUUUCAUUAUUUUUCUAAUGGUCCACCCGUGUUUCACUUUUCUGUUUAUUAUUUAAAACUCAUUUGUGCUAUUUUUAUUUUCUUUGCAUAAAAGAUCCUAUAAACACAAAAAUAACGUAAAUAGCUCAAAAAUAUAAAGAACUAACCAAGAAAAGACGAGUGAAUUUGAAGUAAAAAUAUAUAUAAAUAUGAUCCGAU
Molecule: long non-coding RNA, 1044 nt
Filed under: Malus domestica (apple)
Lineage: Eukaryota; Viridiplantae; Streptophyta; Magnoliopsida; Rosales; Rosaceae
Description: long non-coding RNA (MDOM_LNC005206)
Source: RNAcentral